Molecule: long non-coding RNA, 1846 nt
Organism: Daphnia magna
Lineage: Eukaryota; Metazoa; Arthropoda; Branchiopoda; Diplostraca; Daphniidae
Exons: 8
Source: RefSeq, a predicted model, not a curated record
CAAAGAAAGCUUAUAUAAUGACUUCUACCAACUUUUAAGUCUUUUGGUUCCAUACUCUCGCCGAUGCAGGAUGUAAGUAUUCUAUUGAUCGAAUAGCCGUCUCUUUAUUUCCUCUGACUAGAUUUUCCACUUGGUACAAAAAAUACUAUUCACAACGUUGGUUGAAAUCUAUACUUGACAAGUUAUUUUACAAGCAUGUGGUUUCAAAUACGAUGUUCCCUGAUCCAUACGACACGUAAAUGUGUUCUGAUUACAUAUUUUCCUUGUUGUUUUGGACUGCUAUGUCGGACGUCAGCGAGUUGUGAAUUGUAUUGUUGUCUACCACUAGUCUGUGAUAUGUGUUAGGUAUGUCUGAUUAGAAUAUUGGUGUUGCACAACUUAUGAUGGUGUACUAUUCCACCACCUGUCAAAUACAAGCAAAAGGUAGCAAAGACAUGGGUUUGAGUUGUUUGUUAAAAAUUAUCAACCUAACUUUAUCCCUUUUUAGUACUGGUUACUUGUGUGGUAAACCCUUCAUGAAUUACAAGCUAUCUUUGAGCAUCAUAUUCAUUAAUCUUUUUGUAAGGUUUUCUUAUUUUAGGGUAUCUCAAAUUAAACGAACUUAAUACUAAUCUCCCAAAAUUAUGAGACUCAAGAAUUGGGGUGGUGAGUUACAGACAUGGGUUUGUUAUAAUUGUUAACAAUUAGCAACCCAAGUUGAUCCCUUUUUUGUGUAGGUCACUUGAGUGGUAAACUCUUCAUGAAUUGCAAGUUUUAAUCCUUGAACGUCAAUGUCUUUUCUGCAAGGUUUUCUUCUUCUAGAGGAUCUCAAAUUAAAAGAACUUUCUUCGAUUUUUAAAAAAGUUCAUUGGUGUUGAAUCUUGGAUAGUUUUGGUGCAAUUCUUAUUAUUACAGUGUUUAGCAGGUUUUUCUGAUUCUGGAGGCUAUGUUGGAUUAGUUGGGUAUGUUUUGGACAGGUCCACAACAGGAAGGUCGCUAGAGAGAUUUCCUGCUUUUGAUCUCAUGAAGAUCUUUCUACUUGUGCCUGUUAUCUGUGGUGCAUGUGGUUUCGAUCACGUCAGAAAGUUCGGGUGUCAAUGGCGAUACGGUUUUCUUAGCUUCGAAUGUUGGGCAUUUGCAAGGAAAAUCAUAAUCAGUGAAUGAAAGGCAAAUUGGACGAAUUUUGUUUAUGUAUCUACAUCUCCGACAUAUUUUCUGGUGAAGACAUAGUAAAAUCCGUUGACGAGGUUACUCCCACCGGCUGUUAAUAAUAUACGAAUCAAAAUAUGGCAAAGGGCUCUUGAAUCUCGUGCUAAACUUUAUGGAUAUUUGUUAGAAACGAAAUUUGUUAAGUCAAAUAACACUAUUGACAAUAUUGAUGAUGGUGAAUCUAAACAGGAAGUUGCCAUUUUGGUGGGAAAGAAACAUUGAUGCAAGUUAGAAGGGUGUCCGAAGUUUUCUCCUUACAUUUAUUUUCACAUCUGUGGUAUUCCAAAAAAGAAUUUAUUUCCGUGUUUUCUGUGGCUUCGUUUACUGUUGACUUGUUAUAAGUUUGUCGCGUGUUAUGUAGUUAAUUUUUUCGUCAGAGAAAUUAUGUGCUUUCCGGAAAGGACACGAAGGGAAAUCAAGCUCUAUGAUAAUAUCUGUGCCAAAGGCUUGUUUCCAAAAUCCUAAUUGGCGAUCAGACACUUUGAAUUUGUAGUGAAAAGUAUCGAUGUAUCAACUAUGCCUUUGGUGAUAUAUCCGGAAGACUAAAUCAGUCAGGGUAUUCAUCUGCACAUCUACAUCUCAUAUUUGAUAUGCAAUCGAUGACAAUGUUUUAUGUAUGAUAACUUAACAAAAAUAAACCUUAAAUAGCUUCAUUAUA